CCUACGGGAGGCAGCAGUGAGGAAUAUUGGUCAAUGGCCGGAAGGCUGAACCAGCCAUGCCGCGUGUAGGUCAGUGCCCUAUGGGCGUUAAACUUCUUUUGUGCGGGAGCAAUAAUGGACACGUGUUGCCAGACGAGAGUACCGUACGAAUCAGAAUAGGCUAAAUCCGUGUCAGGAGCCGCGGUCAUGGUGGGGAUGCAGGCGGUAUCGUGAUUUAUAGGGGUUAAAGGGUGCGUACGCUGGGAGGUAAGUCAGAGGUGAAAUGCCCCGGCUCUACGGGGUGAAGUGCCAUUGAUACUGGCUAGCUUGAAUGCGGAUGACGUGGGAAGAAUGUGUGGUGUAGCGGUGAAAUGCAUAGAUAU
RNAcentral lists this ribosomal RNA (362 nucleotides) under uncultured bacterium. RNAcentral's name for it is "partial 16S ribosomal RNA". It matches the Rfam family "Bacterial small subunit ribosomal RNA", at positions 338 to 697 of the family's 1533-position model. The record is from RNAcentral.